Molecule: small nuclear RNA, 103 nt
Organism: Pipistrellus kuhlii (Kuhl's pipistrelle)
Lineage: Eukaryota; Metazoa; Chordata; Mammalia; Chiroptera; Vespertilionidae
Source: RefSeq, a predicted model, not a curated record
GUGCUCGCUUUGGCAGCACAUGUACUAGAAUUGGAACGAUACAGGGAUGAGCACAGCCCCUCACAGGGAUGACACGCCUAUGGGGGAAGAGUGAGUGUGUUCC